AUAUCAUCUUCAUCAUCUUCCAUUUCAAAUUUUUCGAUGCCGUUGAAAAAACUGAAAUCUGUUUUAACGUAUCGCCGACAACGAUGAGAAGUCUGUGUUACACAGAAUCGGAAAACGAUCCGCCCGCUCGAUUGGAUUUAAUCAACUGGAUUCUCGCGCGUGCUUUCGAGUAACACGAGGUACAGAGAAGAUUUUCGAGUAUUCGCAACAAUUAGGACUGACAAUUAAAGGAAUUGUGCCAGUUUGUCGGCGCAAAAUGCGAGACGCCGAGGGAGAAGCGGAGUCAUUCGAAGUUUACUAACAGAAUUAGUAUUUCCCAGCUCAGUUCUAGACCGCCGCGAAUUCCGAGCCGCGACGCAGUCGGCGUGGAAUUAAGUUUCUUGAUAAGAGAUCGGAUGGAAAGGGUGCACUGUGUGUCGAGUCAAUUCCGCUUUUACCUUCAUUUUUACGCAGAGUAUAAGAAAGUUACGCAAGUUAAUGAAAGCUCAAAGGAUUCAGAGAAGUUGAGCUAAUGUUUUAAGAGACGAUUAAGAGAGGCAAUUAAAAGAUAAAGAAGAGAGAUCCGGUUCUUCCGGCUGCAAUUGUAGGGACGAGUGGUUUGAUAUCGAAUCGUUCAGAGAAACGGAUCGGAGGAAAGAAAGCGCAGAUGAUCGGAGAAAAGGUGGCCUUUUGAAAGCGAUAGACACCUUUGUGAACGGCUCAGAAGAUUCUCUAUUGGAAGCGACUUCGGUGGUACGAGGCGACAGAUGAAAUCUGUCUGCUUGGCUCGCCUCCGUCUGGCGUGGACAUAGUUUAUAGGCUGAUAAACCGAUAAUUCAUCUGAAAGGCUCAAAGGAAAUAAAGCCAGAAGCCAAUCCAUUCAUAAAAGCUAUGUACAUACACUAUUGAGAGCAAUGUUGCCCUGAUAUUUUGAUUCAUUAUUUCUCUACAGUCCUUUAAUUAUCGAUUUAUCGUAUCGGAGUCAUAUUUCCAAUUUACAUAAGAAUUUCCUAUUACAAUUUCCUAUUUAUUUUAAAAUCUCUGUGUUAUGAAAAUAUAAUAAAUAUAAUU
This is a long non-coding RNA of Wasmannia auropunctata (little fire ant), 1050 nucleotides long. RefSeq lists it as uncharacterized. The transcript has 3 exons. The record is from RefSeq and is a predicted model, not a curated record. Lineage: Eukaryota; Metazoa; Arthropoda; Insecta; Hymenoptera; Formicidae.